RNAcentral lists this non-coding RNA (28 nucleotides) under Homo sapiens (human). Lineage: Eukaryota; Metazoa; Chordata; Mammalia; Primates; Hominidae. The record is from RNAcentral.
UGGCUGGUUAUAUGUGUAUUAUGCAAAG